UCCCCAGUAGCUCAGAGGUUAAAGCAUCUGCCUGCAAUGCGGGAGACCUGGGUUCAGUCCCUGGGUUGGGAA
RNAcentral lists this transfer RNA (72 nucleotides) under Ovis aries (sheep). It matches the Rfam family "tRNA". From Rfam's summary of the family: Transfer RNA (tRNA) molecules are approximately 80 nucleotides in length. The record is from Rfam by way of RNAcentral. Lineage: Eukaryota; Metazoa; Chordata; Mammalia; Artiodactyla; Bovidae.